RNAcentral lists this ribosomal RNA (386 nucleotides) under uncultured organism. Its description in RNAcentral is "bacterial SSU rRNA". It matches the Rfam family "Bacterial small subunit ribosomal RNA", at positions 45 to 433 of the family's 1533-position model. The record is from RNAcentral.
UGGUUCAGGCAUGCAAGUCGAACGAUCUCGCAAGAGAUAGUGGCAGAAGGGUUAGUAACACGUGGGCAAUCUACCCUCGAGUCGGGGAUAACUUCGCGAAAGCGAGGCUAAUACCCGAUAACAUCGCGAUCCGGCAUCGGAUUGCGAUCAAAGGUGGCGCAAGCUGCCGAUUGAGGAGGAGCCCGCGGCCUAUCAGCUAGUUGGUGAGGUAACGGCCCACCAAGGCUUUUGACGGGUAGCUGGUCUAAGAGGACGAUCAGCAACAUUGGGACUGAGACACUGCCCAGACUCCUACGGGAGGCUGCAGUCGAGGAUCUUUAGCAAUGCCCGAAAGGGUGACUAUGCGACGCCGCGUGCAGGAUGAAGGCCUUCGGGUCGUAAACUGC